GGGAGACCAAAAUUACAGAUAAAACAACAGAGGAUGUGUAACAACUUUGUUAGUUUGAGAAAAUGAAAGUCAUAAACUUGUAUGCUACACCAGAAAAUUUUUUAUUUACAAAAAAUAUUAGUCUGUGCUGAUAUCAUUUGACUAGCCCCAGGCAUGACCAACUUUGAAAUAAUAUGACACUGCUCACAGAAAAUGAAGGAGAAAGAGAUGCUUUGCAAGCACGCAAGUUUAUGACACAACAAGCAUGCAUGACAUGGAGCCAUCCAUACAUGCAUGCAAACUAGUUU
Molecule: unclassified non-coding RNA, 287 nt
Filed under: Hevea brasiliensis (rubber tree)
Lineage: Eukaryota; Viridiplantae; Streptophyta; Magnoliopsida; Malpighiales; Euphorbiaceae
Source: RNAcentral